CCAGCUGAGGGUACACUGCCUUUAGAUUGCUGUGAUUUUAUUGUCAUGAUUAUAAUUGUAAAUCGUUGUAAUUAUGGUGUAAACAUUUUAACAGGCACCUUGACAGGCACCUAUCAAGCGUGAGCGUGGGGUCCUGAUUCAGUGUGUUUACUUCUGCUGCCUGCACUGCGUGGAUCUUGUCAGCGCUACAUAGCAUGCAAGUUAGCUGCAGCUCUUCCAGUGAACGUUAACUGACUGUUAUAUGGACACGAAAUAUGGUACAAUACUUGCCUAUGAAAAGCUUUUCUCAAUCGCAACAACGAGGAGAAACAUAGCCACAAAGAUGUAGCUCUCUAGUAGUGUUUUGAGAGCACACUCGUGAGUGAGAAGUGGCGACUGAGGAUUGCUGGACCAAACCAAACCAACUGGGAAGCGCCUGGAUCUCGUACGGACUUUAUGCCUUGAAGGCACCUUCAGAGGGACAGUUCGGCUCCACUACUGCAGGGAGGGCAGAAGCUGAAUGUUCCACAUAUGUACCAUGAUGCUGCCAGCCUGGCAUCCAGCCCUGCCAUUACCCUAAACACACUAUAGGACUGAGGUGGUCAGUUACAGUCACAGAUGGGGGAAGAUGGCGACAGUCCCAAGACGACGUUCACCACCUCAACACUGAAAUGUACCAGUACCACAAGGAGGCUGCCCUGGACUUAACCCUAAGAAGACCCAACACAUACCAUGCCACCCCUUGUUAUUGCACUCUACCACACAUACCCUCAUCACAGGCUUUGGGAGGGAGUUUGAAUGUUGACCUUGUGAUAUUUUGAGUGACUGACAAUAUGUAUGAUGUUUAUGUCUCACUUUAAACAGGAUAUCAACUAUUGGUUUGAUCCUUACUGUUUAAAGCAUACAUGUACUAUAAUCCAUUACGUUAUUAAACUGUUUUUUAACCUUUCCAUUAA
This is a long non-coding RNA of Engraulis encrasicolus (European anchovy), 935 nucleotides long. RefSeq lists it as uncharacterized. The record is from RefSeq and is a predicted model, not a curated record. Lineage: Eukaryota; Metazoa; Chordata; Actinopteri; Clupeiformes; Engraulidae. The transcript has 3 exons.